AUGACGAAGGAGGCGCGUGACGGAGGAGCGGUUGGCCAGCGCUGCGGCCUCCGUCGGUGUAAACAAGGCCUCGCGCCGCUGCAGGUCCGGCGACCGCUCCUGGCUGGAUUGGGGAAGGUUUGUGUUCCUGAAGCCUUGGGAGUUGUCACAGGCUACAGAGAAGGGAUUUCAGUCCCUAGGAGGGGUAGCCCUCCUAGAGAUAGCUCCCGCUUUAUCUCGGGAGACCCUGGUGUUUCUAGAGCAGGCU
This 247-nucleotide long non-coding RNA is filed under the name Ursus maritimus (polar bear). RNAcentral's name for it is "lncRNA (ENSUMAG00000022687.1)". Lineage: Eukaryota; Metazoa; Chordata; Mammalia; Carnivora; Ursidae. The record is from RNAcentral.